This 468-nucleotide ribosomal RNA is filed under the name uncultured bacterium. RNAcentral's name for it is "partial 16S ribosomal RNA". It matches the Rfam family "Bacterial small subunit ribosomal RNA", at positions 29 to 507 of the family's 1533-position model. The record is from RNAcentral.
UACGAACGCUGGCGGCGUGCUUAACACAUGCAAGUCGAACGGAAAGGCCCUGCUUUUGUGGGGUGCUCGAGUGGCGAACGGGUGAGUAACACGUGAGUAACCUGCCCUUGACUUUGGGAUAACUUCAGGAAACUGGGGCUAAUACCGGAUAGGAGCUCCUGCUGCAUGGUGGGGGUUGGAAAGUUUCGGCGGUUGGGGAUGGACUCGCGGCUUAUCAGCUUGUUGGUGGGGUAGUGGCUUACCAAGGCUUUGACGGGUAGCCGGCCUGAGAGGGUGACCGGCCACAUUGGGACUGAGGUACGGCCCAGACUCCUACGGGAGGCAGCAGGGGGGAAUAUUGCACAAUGGGCGGAAGCCUGAUGCAGCAACGCCGCGUGCGGGAUGACGGCCUUCGGGUUGUAAACCGCUUUCGCCUGUGACGAAGCGUGAGUGACGGUAAUGGGUAAAGAAGCACCGGCUAACUACGUG